RNAcentral lists this ribosomal RNA (516 nucleotides) under uncultured bacterium. RNAcentral's name for it is "partial 16S ribosomal RNA". It matches the Rfam family "Bacterial small subunit ribosomal RNA", at positions 28 to 523 of the family's 1533-position model. The record is from RNAcentral.
GAUGAACGCUGGCGGCGUGCCUAAUACAUGCAAGUCGAAUGUAUUGAGAGAAGUGCUUGCACUUUUCAAUUUGAGUGGUGAACGGGUGAGUAACACGUGGGCAACCUAUCUGAUAGCGGGGGAUAACGAGUGGAAACAUUCGCUAGUACCGCAUAACAAUCGAGCAGGCAUCAUCUUUAUUUAAAACGCGCUUACAAGAGUCACCAUCAAAUGGGCCCGCGGUGCAUUAGUUAGUUGGUGGGGUGAAGGCCUACCAAGACGAUGAUGCAUAGCCGAGUUGAGAGACUGAUCGGCCACAUUGGGACUGAAACACAGCCCAAACUCCUACGGGAGGCUGCAGUAGGGAAUCUUCCACAAUGGACGAAAGUCUGAUGGAGCAACGCCGAGUGUGUGAUGAAGGCUUUCGGGUCGUAAAGCACUGUUGUAUGGGAAGAAAUGCUAGGCUAGGAAAUGAGCUUAGUUUGACGGUACCAUACCAGAAAGGGACGGCUAAAUACGUGCCAGCCGCCGCCGUAA